RNAcentral lists this ribosomal RNA (429 nucleotides) under Fusobacteriota bacterium. Its description in RNAcentral is "Fusobacteria bacterium partial 16S ribosomal RNA". It matches the Rfam family "Bacterial small subunit ribosomal RNA", at positions 355 to 776 of the family's 1533-position model. Lineage: Bacteria; Fusobacteriati; Fusobacteriota. The record is from RNAcentral.
UGGGGAAUCUUCCGCAAUGGACGAAAGUCUGACGGAGCAACGCCGCGUGAGUGAAGACGGCCUUCGGGUUGUAAAGCUCUGUGAUCCGGGACGAAAGAGCCUGAGGUAAAUAGCCUAAGGAAGUGACGGUACCGGAAAAGCAAGCCACGGCUAACUACGUGCCAGCAGCCGCGGUAAUACGUAGGUGGCAAGCGUUGUCCGGAAUUAUUGGGCGUAAAGCGCGCGCAGGCGGCUUCCUAAGUCCAUCUUAAAAGUGCGGGGCUUAACCCCGUGAUGGGAUGGAAACUGGGAAGCUUGAGUAUCGGAGAGGAAAGUGGAAUUCCUAGUGUAGCGGUGAAAUGCGUAGAGAUUAGGAAGAACACCGGUGGCGAAGGCGACUUUCUGGACGAAAACUGACGCUGAGGCGCGAAAGCGUGGGGAGCAAACAGG